GGCCUACGGGACGCAGCAGUGGGGAAUAUUGCACAAUGGGGGAAACCCUGAUGCAGCGACGCCGCGUGAGUGAAGAAGUAUUUCGGUACGUAAAGCUCUAUCAGCAGGGAAGAAAAAAAGUCCUUUGGACUUUGGACGGUACCUGACUAAGAAGCCCCGGCUAACUACGUGCCAGCAGCCGCGGUAAUACGUAGGGGGCAAGCGUUAUCCGGAUUUACUGGGUGUAAAGGGAGCGUAGACGGCAGCGCAAGUCUGGAGUGAAAUGCCGGGGCCCAACCCCGGAACUGCUUUGGAAACUGUGCAGC
RNAcentral lists this ribosomal RNA (305 nucleotides) under uncultured bacterium. RNAcentral describes it as "bacterial SSU rRNA". It matches the Rfam family "Bacterial small subunit ribosomal RNA", at positions 335 to 641 of the family's 1533-position model. The record is from RNAcentral.